AUUUUCCUGAUGUUAGGAUGCAUCUGCAAAAAAUAUUGUAUUCCUUUAUGGUUGUGAGUUUCAAUUUUUAUUUUGCCCAAUGUAUCGGUAUACAGGUAUAUAUCGGUAUAUAUUAUACAGGAUAUGUUAAAAUUUUUUUAUUUUAAUCAUACAUCAAUCUCCCCAGGCGUCAAUAUAUCUGUUGUGUUAUUUUGUGUCUGUAGACUCCAGUCAACAAUAUAAGAAGUGAUCAUCGUCUCUUUCAAUAUUUUUUUGUUGUGGUCGGUCAUAUAGCUGAUACUACAUUUUAAACUUUUGAAAAGGUUUAUAGCGAAAAAACGACGUAUAAAUACAAUUUAGCCACUCUUUUCCGAAUUUGGGAUGAGAAAAGGUGAUGAUAGAUUGGUUAUUAAAUUAGAAAGUGCGUACAAAUAAAUAAUGAUUGACCAAAUCUUAAAAUUGGUCUUCCUUCGCAAAGCCACUACAAUAUCUUUUUAAGAUAUCAUCUUCCUAGUAUAUCUUGGCCAAUAGUGUGCUUUAAAUUUUUUAUUAUUUCUGUUUUUUUUCCUUAUGUUAGGAUGCAUCUGUGUAAGAUAUUUUAUUCCUAUAUUGUUGUGAGUUUUAUUUUUUAAUUUUGUCGAAUAUAUCGAAGUAUAGAAAGCCUUUAAUAUAUUUCAUCGUAAUGAUGUUAUAUCAACCUAGUGGCUAUAUUCCGAAAUCUUCGUUACUCUGCUACGUCUAUGUUCUGAAAGUACUCACCACAUUAAUUUUAAUCACUGAUUGUCCUUCGGUGCAAUAAACCCUUAAUUAGUAUAAUUUAAAUAUAUUGUUUACUUAUUCUUUUGAUGUGAAUAUUUUUUAUCGGGCUCACUUGACAAUGUUUAUUUUAUAUCUUUUUAUCUGUUAAACAAUUUUUUUAAUGGUUAAUCAUCAGGGUACUGAACGCAAUGUAGCAAUCUUGAACAUAAUACGUACAAAACUAGAAACUAAAGAAAUAAGAAACUAAAUAAAAAAGUUAGCCCUUUUUUAAAACAAAAUGUUUAUAAUGUACACCUCACAAAGGACAAGAGAAUACUUUUGGCUAAGACAUGCGUAACCGCCAAAGAGAAUAAAUAUAAAUUUUUAUGGUUAUAUAACGCAGAAUUUCUUUCAAUAAUAUGCGAAAAUGCAAAAUUUAUGCACAUCAGAGUCAUAAGCGACCUAGAAAAAAUGUAAGUUGCUAAGUUUCGUUUUUAAUUUUCACUACAAAUGUCUCACUUUUUAUUUUUAUUCUUUACUUAUAAAUCUAUUAAUUAAAAGAAAUAACACUUAAAUGAUAAACUUAAUAAUGCUCUUCUUACCAUUAAAAAUUACUAAAUAGUAGUCUCAAAUAAUAAUGUUUUUUGAAUUGAUGGUAUUAUAAUUUUCAUUAAAAAUGAAAUAAACCAAAUAGGCACUGAAAUAUAACAGACACAAAUUGCUUCCUAGCUCUAAUAAUAUAUUAUGAUAAAGUAAAUUAUUUAAUUAUAUCUAUAUGCUGAUCACCAGUGGUAUUUUCUUUUUUUCGUCCUUUCAUUUCGUUUUCAUCACUACGAAACUCUCUGUAUAUUUUUACACAUCUUAAAAGACAGGAAUACGCCUAUAUUUACACAUUUUUUGAUAGAAAUUUAUUAAUGAACAAAAAAAAAAUCAUCUUUUAAGUAAUACAUAUUAAACUUUGGCCGAUGGGCGCUUUAGGCUACGGCCUGUUCAGUCUAUUAUUGAUUAAUCAGGCUUCGCACCGCACGUUACAGUUUUACCUACUGCGCCCACGCGAACCGUCAAUAUACAUUGAUUAGUAGGUAUUUCGAUUUUUAUUGUUAUGUUGUAAUCUAUACAUACAAAUUACUCAGGUCCUCUACGCGUGCAUUAUUGGUACAAUAGUUAAAUAAAAUGAUACGUGCGGCUUGUGCACAUAACCUAAUAUACCACGUGCAAUAUGAAUACAUUGUAUAUACACACUAGAUCGAUUACGAUAUAGGUUUAGUUUAUUCGUAUCUUUUGAAAAAUACUCAGUCACAAAUGUGAACGCAAUUAAUAAAUAAUGGUAGAGAACGAUUUCACGUAAUAUCAAUAUUAUUAUCGAUGUCUGUCGGAAAAUGAUUAGAUUAUAAUUUUAUAUAUAAGACUAUAAGACGCGAGGAAAAAAAGUUUACCCUGUAUGCGAAUAAGACGAUUAAUGGAGGAAUUAUUCUAUUAUAGAUACAGUACUUAAAGAAAAAUGCAUUUUUAUGGUCAGGAUUAAUAACUUCGACUUGUUGGGAAAUUACAAUUACAAGAAUAACUAUUAGAUUGUAACACUGACUAAAAAAAAUGUAUAUGCAUAUAUUGUGUGUAACAUUGUUUCAAAAUGUAUAUGCACAUGGAUUUAAAAAAAUAAAAUAUUACUAUCAAUUAUAUAGUUAGUUAUCUAUAUUACAAUGUAUCGAUUUAUUACAUUAAAAAACUAGCAUUUAAUAACUUUUUUAUUAUAUUCUUAUAUGGUAUAUAACCAAGUAAUCAUUGUAUUUUAAAACAAAUUAUUAUAUGUUCAAUACCUUUAUUAUGUAUUAAUCGCAUUAAAUUAUGUAAUUAAAAUAUACAAAACUAAUAUUGUAAUAGAUAAUAAAUAAUAAAAAAAAAAAAAAAUGUACUUUAAUAUCAAUAUAACUUUGUAUCAAUUACUUCGAAUUUGAAUGUAUGCAAAAAAAAAUAUUACAAUAUGUUACUGAAUACAUCUAUAAAGUUUAAAUAAACUAACUUUAUUAAAAACUGACUAUCUCGAAAAGCCAAAAA
Molecule: long non-coding RNA, 2772 nt
Filed under: Cinara cedri
Lineage: Eukaryota; Metazoa; Arthropoda; Insecta; Hemiptera; Aphididae
Source: RNAcentral